GACGAACGCUGGCGGCGCGCCUAACACAUGCAAGUCGAACGAGCGAGAGAGGAGCUUGCUUUCUCAAGCGAGUGGCGAACGGGUGAGUAACGCGUGAGGAACCUGCCUCAAAGAGGGGGACAACAGUUGGAAACGACUGCUAAUACCGCAUAAGCGCACGUCAUCGCAUGAUGGUGUGUGAAAAACUCCGGUGGUAUGAGAUGGACCCGCGUCUGAUUAGGUAGUUGGUGGGGUAACGGCCCACCAAGCCGACGAUCGGUAGCCGACCUGAGAGGGUGACCGGCCACAUUGGGACUGAGACACGGCCCAA
This 310-nucleotide ribosomal RNA is filed under the name uncultured bacterium. RNAcentral's name for it is "bacterial SSU rRNA". It matches the Rfam family "Bacterial small subunit ribosomal RNA", at positions 28 to 334 of the family's 1533-position model. The record is from RNAcentral.